AUAUCAAAUUACCUGUCCACGAGCCAGACCGUCCUGGACCAGCUGAGCUUGGCUCUCCGCGGGGAGUUCCGCCUCAUCCUGACCCGCAAGUGAGUUCAGAUCAUGAAAGCAAAUAUCUUUUUUCAGUAAUCAGUAAUCCAGCAAAUAGCAAUAUUUGAUCACACUAAACCCCAUCAAUAUUAGAUCAAAAAUAUUUAUAACAUUUUGCCCAUAGAAAACUCUUUGUCCAGCCAAACUAAAUAAUUUGAUACAAUCAUACCUGUCCACAAAGGUAUGCGUGUGACAUCCUUGUCAUCCGGAUGCUACGGGAGAGGACCCUCGGCAACAGCUCCACACGCCUGGCCAAACAGCUGCGGGAGAACCACGGCGAGGAGUGGCUGCAGCGGUUGGCCCGCUACAUGGAGCUGGCCAAUGACUUUGCCCGCAGGCCCGGUCUCUUCCCUGUGGUCUGUCAGAGCCCCCCCGAGCCUAUCGCUGUCCCGACCAACAGGUGGCUCCUGACUGUGUACGGGAAGGACUUGAUGAGCCGUAUGGGUCACAUCAAGGCCAGCAUCACCUCCACCUUUGGCUCCAUUUUAAAAAUGGAUUCUACAAAGAAGAUGACCAAAAAGCUGGCUGGAGCCGCCAAGGGGACGGCGCUCUGGGUGUCCUCCGUCAGCAACGAGAAGGGGCAGGUCCUGAUCAGCGUCCUGACAGCCCAGGAGGGACCUGGACUGGACCGGAUGGUGUCAGGCCUCAUCAGGCGCUACAGCGAGGCGGGCGUGGCUCCCCCUAUACUCCUCUACGUGGACUGUGGCUGCUGCAAGGAGACGGGAGGGGAGAGCAAGCUGCAGGCCAGGUUCAGCGGCUGGCCAGACCUCGUCAUCCGGCUGGACAUCUGGCACUUCCUUCGGCGGCUUGCGGCCGGAUGCACGACCGACGCCCACGCCCUGUACCCCAUCUUCAUGGCCACGCUCUCCGUCUGCCUGUUUGAGUGGGACCCUGAAGAUGUGGCCCUUCUGCGCCACGCCAAGAGGGAGGAGCUCCGGAGGGAGUGUGUGCCCGGCAUCUCCGAGGCUCUGGUGGACAGCCGGUUGACCAAGGCCCAGUUGGCGCUGUACUGCAGGCGGAGGACCCGUGGAGAGGAGGCCACCAUCCGCCAGGUGGAGGCCCUGCUGCAGGAGCUGAUGGGGGACAAAGGCAGGGACCUGCUGGGUGUUCCCCUCCUGGACCGGGUGAGGAUGGAGCACAUCUGGCGGGUUCAGAAGAGGCACGUCAAGUGCAUCCAGGACCUGCCAGGUGUGCCUCUGUACACAAAGACCGGCACCACCACCACCAAGGACGGCGUCGUCCUCACCAAAUACAGGUGUGCGUGAGGUUCAACGUCCCUGGAGUCCUUCCACUGCCACCUGAACCGCUUUAUUCCAGGGACCCAGGCCAAUGACCUGAACUUCCAGCUCUACCUGCUGGACGGGCUGAACCGCUGGAACCAGGACCGGGCUGCUGCUGCUGUGGCUGAGAAGAUGUCCGCUCUCCUCAGCUACUCGGGGGAUCUGGUACA
RNA transcript from Gadus macrocephalus (Pacific cod), 1540 nucleotides. RefSeq lists it as uncharacterized. The transcript is spliced from 3 exons. Lineage: Eukaryota; Metazoa; Chordata; Actinopteri; Gadiformes; Gadidae. The record is from RefSeq and is a predicted model, not a curated record.